RNAcentral lists this long non-coding RNA (247 nucleotides) under Elaeis guineensis (African oil palm). RNAcentral describes it as "long non-coding RNA (EGUI_LNC016288)". Lineage: Eukaryota; Viridiplantae; Streptophyta; Magnoliopsida; Arecales; Arecaceae. The record is from RNAcentral.
GGUAAGAGGAAGUGGUUAAAAUAAUUCAAAAAAAGAGUCAUAUAUAUUAAAAUAGUUCAAAAAAUAUAAAAUUAAAUUUUAAUUUUUUAUAAUUUAAAAAUUUUAUUUAAAAAAAUUUGAAUUAGUUGAGAGAUUAGAAAUAUAAUUUAUUUAUUUAUUUUUAAUGUAAGCUACCGUGUCUAACUUCAGCCAUAAGGCAGUACUAAUUCUGUCUGUUUAAGAUCUUUCAAACAAUUGGGCUCCACCA